CACCGCGGUUAUACGAGAGGCUCAAGUUGACGGACCACGGCGUAAAGCGUGGUUAGGGAAAAACAAAAACUAAAGCCGAACGGCCUCUAGGUUGUUACACGCUUCCGAAGGUACGAAGCCCAAUCACGAAAGUAGCUUUAAUCCUCACCUGACUCCACGAAARCUGAGAAACAAACUGGGAUUAGAUACCCCACUAUGCUCAGCCCUAAACAUCGAUUGUAUAACACAACCCCGAUCCGCCCGGGUAUUACGCACGCCCCCUUUCUUUAUUUCUAUUUAUCUUCUACCCCCCCCCCCC
This 298-nucleotide ribosomal RNA is filed under the name Sphyraena obtusata (obtuse barracuda). Its description in RNAcentral is "partial 12S ribosomal RNA". The record is from RNAcentral. Lineage: Eukaryota; Metazoa; Chordata; Actinopteri; Sphyraenidae.